Molecule: ribosomal RNA, 273 nt
Filed under: uncultured bacterium
Lineage: Bacteria
Description: partial 16S ribosomal RNA
Rfam family: Bacterial small subunit ribosomal RNA
Source: RNAcentral
UACAGAGGGUGCAAGCGUUAAUCGGAAUUACUGGGCGUAAAGCGCGCGUAGGCGGUUAUUUAAGUCGGGUGUGAAAGCCCCGGGCUCAACCUGGGAAUUGCAUCCGAUACUGAGUGACUAGAGUAUGAGAGAGGGAGGUAGAAUUCCACGUGUAGCGGUGAAAUGCGUAGAUAUGUGGAGGAAUACCGGUGGCGAAGGCGGCCUCCUGGCUUAAUACUGACGCUGAGGUGCGAAAGCGUGGGGAUCAAACAGGAUUAGAAACCCCGGUAGUCC